Podarcis lilfordi (Lilford's wall lizard) is the source of this 71-nucleotide non-coding RNA. The record is from the annotation of a GenBank genome assembly. Lineage: Eukaryota; Metazoa; Chordata; Lepidosauria; Squamata; Lacertidae.
GGGCCAUAGCUCAGUGGCACUGUGUCUGCUUUGUAUGCAGGAGGCCCCAGGUUCAAUCCUUGGCAUCUCCA